RNAcentral lists this ribosomal RNA (253 nucleotides) under uncultured bacterium. RNAcentral describes it as "partial 16S ribosomal RNA". It matches the Rfam family "Bacterial small subunit ribosomal RNA", at positions 524 to 776 of the family's 1533-position model. The record is from RNAcentral.
UACGUAGGGACCAAGCGUUGUUCGGAUUUACUGGGCGUAAAGGGCGCGUAGGCGGCGUGGUAAGUCACUUGUGAAAUCUCUGAGCUUAACUCAGAACGGCCAAGUGAUACUGCUGUGCUAGAGUGCAGAAGGGGCAAUCGGAAUUCUUGGUGUAGCGGUGAAAUGCGUAGAUAUCAAGAGGAACACCUGAGGUGAAGACGGGUUGCUGGGCUGACACUGACGCUGAGGCGCGAAAGCCAGGGGAGUAAACGGG